UUCUCAUGUACGCUUCUUUAACAAAACCCUAGAUUUCCAUUUGUUCAUCUUCUUCUCCUUCAAGCUCUGUAAUCCAUCAACCUCUGCAAUCGAAUCGUUUCAACCAUCAGAUUUAAAGCAGAAUAAUGUGGGACAGAAAGAAAGAAGAAACCGGGGAGUCUUAGGUAAUAUCGGCAAUCUUGCUCCAACCAUUGUUGUCGAAACUGGAAAACCGACUCAUAUAUGUCGCCCCAUCUCAAGAAAUUAUUGUGCCCAAUUGGCUGCAAAUGCACAAGGAGCAGCAGGCAAGAAUGUUAAGGUAGCAAAGGAUGAAGGGUUUGAGCUGCCAUACAGUUAUGAAGAAGCUUCUCAAAGAACCUAAAUUCUCAUUCUACCCUUUGACUAUUAAUUCCAUGCUCUGGCGUUGGAAGCCAUGUUCCAGCUUAGCAGUGAUACGAUCUUAGAUCUACAGGCGACUGAAUAGGCUAAUAAUGUGAUGCUAAAGGCCUAGAAGAAACACGAACUCGGUUUUUCCGUUCCCAAAUAAUCACGAGGAAAGAAAAACCGUAUUCGAAAGAAAGUGUCGAAGACGGGAGGAUAUCCAAACAAUCUGCAAUUUAUACGGAACCAACUGUGCGACCAAAGAUGUUCGACGACAUGUUACUUUGCGUUGAAGGUAAGGGUCGCGGUAAAAAAGGUGUAAACAAGGAUGUGGUGGAGUUGCGAAUGCUCUUGACGCUUUGUGCACAAGCCGUUGCGGCUAAUGACCAAAGGGGUGCAUUCGAUCUACUAAAUCAGAUUUUAGUUCUGCAAAUGACAAUGGAGGAUGGCUUCAAGAACUCGACGGCGACGGAAGAACUCCACGGUGAUGGCAGUUAGGGUGAAGAGGAUGGCUUCAAGGAUUGGUCUACUUUGCUAUGUUACUAAUUGUUCACUGUAGGUUGUUGGUUGUAGUGGUUCUGCAUUGUUGGUGCCAUUGUAAAGGGGACCAUACAAUGCUCAAUUUUUGGUGGAUUUUAUAUAAUAAAUAGCUGAACCUCAU
RNAcentral lists this long non-coding RNA (1021 nucleotides) under Helianthus annuus (common sunflower). The record is from RNAcentral. Lineage: Eukaryota; Viridiplantae; Streptophyta; Magnoliopsida; Asterales; Asteraceae.